This 508-nucleotide ribosomal RNA is filed under the name uncultured bacterium. RNAcentral describes it as "bacterial SSU rRNA". It matches the Rfam family "Bacterial small subunit ribosomal RNA", at positions 20 to 518 of the family's 1533-position model. The record is from RNAcentral.
UGGCUCAGAACGAACGCUGGCGGCGCGUUUUAAGCAUGCAAGUCGAGCGGCAAGGGCCUUCGGGCCCCUAGAGCGGCGGACGGGUGAGUAACACGUGGACAAUCUGCCCCCCGGCCCGGGAUAGCCCAGGGAAACCUGGAUUAAUACCGGAUGAGACGGGACCCGCGAAGGCGGGACCCGGAAAGGCGCUGCGGCGCCGCCGGGGGAUGAGUCUGCGUCCCAUUAGCUAGACGGCGGGGUAACGGCCCACCGUGGCGACGAUGGGUAGCCGGCCUGAGAGGGUGGACGGCCACAUUGGAACUGAGACACGGUCCAGACUCCUACGGGAGGCAGCAGCUAAGAAUCUUCCGCAAUGGGCGAAAGCCUGACGGAAGCGACGCCGCGUGAACGAAGAAGGCCGUGAGGUUGUAAAGUUCUUUUCGGGAGGGGGAACAACCGUGGCAGGGAAUGGCCGCGGGAUGACGUGAAUCCCGGAAUAAGCCCCGGCUAACUACGUGCCAGCCGCCGC